GAAGUAAAAAGUCGUAACAAGGUCUCCGUUGGUGAACCAGCGGAGGGAUCAUUAAAGAGUUGCAAAACUCCCAAACCAUUGUGAACAUACCUUCAACGUUGCUUCGGCGGGUUGGCCCCGGUCUCCGGGGUCCCCGGCCCUAACGGGCGCCCGCCGGAGGUACCUAACUCUUGAACUUUUAUGGCCUCUCUGAGUCUUUGUACUUAAUAAGUCAAAACUUUCAACAACGGAUCUCUUGGUUCUGGCAUCGAUGAAGAACGCAGCGAAAUGCGAUAAGUAAUGUGAAUUGCAGAAUUCAGUGAAUCAUCGAAUCUUUGAACGCACAUUGCGCCCGCCAGUAUUCUGGCGGGCAUGCCUGUUCGAGCGUCAUUUCAACCAUCAAGCCCCCGGCUUGUGUUGGGGACCUGCGGCUGCCGCAGGCCCUGAAAACCAGUGGCGGGCUCGCUAGUCACUCCGAGCGUAGUAAUACAUCUCGCUCAGGGCGUGCUGCGGGUUCCGGCCGUUAAAAAGCCUUAUUUACCCAAGGUGACCUCGGAUCAGGUACGA
Molecule: ribosomal RNA, 546 nt
Filed under: fungal sp. pp6
Lineage: Eukaryota; Fungi
Description: eukaryotic LSU rRNA
Rfam family: 5.8S ribosomal RNA (bases 216-369)
Source: RNAcentral